UACGGAGGAUCCGAGCGUUAUCCGGAUUUAUUGGGUUUAAAGGGAGCGUAGGUGGAUUGUUAAGUCAGUUGUGAAAGUUUGCGGCUCAACCGUAAAAUUGCAGUUGAAACUGGCAUCCUUGAGUACAGUAGAGGUAGGCGGAAUUCGUGGUGUAGCGGUGAAAUGCUUAGAUAUCACGAAGAACUCCGAUUGCGAAGGCAGCCUGCUGGACUGUAACUGACGCUGAUGCUCGAAAGUGUGGGUAUCAAACAGG
RNAcentral lists this ribosomal RNA (253 nucleotides) under uncultured bacterium. Its description in RNAcentral is "partial 16S ribosomal RNA". It matches the Rfam family "Bacterial small subunit ribosomal RNA", at positions 524 to 776 of the family's 1533-position model. The record is from RNAcentral.